Non-coding RNA from Apiosordaria backusii, 89 nucleotides. Lineage: Eukaryota; Fungi; Ascomycota; Sordariomycetes; Sordariales; Lasiosphaeriaceae. The record is from the annotation of a GenBank genome assembly.
GGUCCGCUGGCGUAAUGGCAGCGCGUCUGACUACGAUUCUCAUUAUCGGGAUUAUCAGGAGGUUCCAGGUUCGACCCCUGGGCGGAUCG